UGCAAGUCGAACGGUGAAGCCAAGCUUGCUUGGUGGAUCAGUGGCGAACGGGUGAGUAACACGUGAGCAACCUGCCCUGGACUCUGGGAUAAGCGCUGGAAACGGCGUCUAAUACUGGAUAUGAGCCUCUAUCGCAUGGUGGGGGUUGGAAAGAUUUUUUGGUCUGGGAUGGGCUCGCGGCCUAUCAGCUUGUUGGUGAGGUAAUGGCUCACCAAGGCGUCGACGGGUAGCCGGCCUGAGAGGGUGACCGGCCACACUGGGACUGAGACACGGCCCAGACUCCUACGGGAGGCAGCAGUGGGGAAUAUUGCACAAUGGGCGGAAGCCUGAUGCAGCAACGCCGCGUGAGGGAUGACGGCCUUCGGGUUGUAAACCUCUUUUAGCAGGGAAGAAGCGAGAGUGACGGUACCUGCAGAAAAAGCGCCGGCUAACUACGUGCCAGCAGCCGCGGUAAUACGUAGGGCGCAAGCGUUAUCCGGAAUUAUUGGGCGUAAAGAGCUCGUAGGCGGUUUGUCGCGUCUGCUGUGAAAUCCCGAGGCUCAACCUCGGGCCUGCAGUGGGUACGGGCAGACUAGAGUGCGGUAGGGGAGAUUGGAAUUCCUGGUGUAGCGGUGGAAUGCGCAGAUAUCAGGAGGAACACCGAUGGCGAAGGCAGAUCUCUGGGCCGUAACUGACGCUGAGGAGCGAAAGGGUGGGGAGCAAACAGGCUUAGAUACCCUGGUAGUCCACCCCGUAAACGUUGGGAACUAGUUGUGGGGACCAUUCCACGGUUUCCGUGACGCAGCUAACGCAUUAAGUUCCCCGCCUGGGGAGUACGNCGCAAGGCUAAAACUCAAGGAAUUGACGGGGACCCGCACAAGCGGCGGAGCAUGCGGAUUAUUCGAUGCACGCGAAGAACCUUACCAAGGCUUGACAUACACCACACAC
RNAcentral lists this ribosomal RNA (927 nucleotides) under Microbacterium trichothecenolyticum. RNAcentral describes it as "bacterial SSU rRNA". It matches the Rfam family "Bacterial small subunit ribosomal RNA", at positions 56 to 998 of the family's 1533-position model. Lineage: Bacteria; Bacillati; Actinomycetota; Actinomycetes; Micrococcales; Microbacteriaceae. The record is from RNAcentral.